UACGUAGGGUGCAGGCGUUAAUCGGAAUUACUGGGCGUAAAGCGUGCGCAGGCGGUUUGCUAAGAGAGAUGUGAAAUCCCCGGGCUUAACCUGGGAACUGCGUUUCUAACUGGCAGGCUUGCGUGUGGCAGAGGGGGGUGGAAUUCCACGUGUAGCAGUGAAAUGCGUAGAGAUGUGGAGGAACACCGAUGGCGAAGGCAGCCCCCUGGGCUAACACUGACGCUCAUGCACGAAAGCGUGGGGAGCAAACAGG
RNAcentral lists this ribosomal RNA (253 nucleotides) under uncultured bacterium. RNAcentral describes it as "partial 16S ribosomal RNA". It matches the Rfam family "Bacterial small subunit ribosomal RNA", at positions 524 to 776 of the family's 1533-position model. The record is from RNAcentral.